RNAcentral lists this ribosomal RNA (869 nucleotides) under uncultured archaeon. RNAcentral's name for it is "bacterial SSU rRNA". It matches the Rfam family "Archaeal small subunit ribosomal RNA", at positions 5 to 879 of the family's 1478-position model. The record is from RNAcentral.
CGGUUGAUCCUGCCGGAGGUCACUGCUAUUGGGAUUCGACUAAGCCAUGCGAGUCGAGAGGGUUCGGCCCUCGGCUGACGGCUCAGUAACACGUGGAUAAUCUGCCCUUAGGUGGAGGAUAAUCUCGGGAAACUGAGGAUAAUACUCCAUAGAUCUAGGAUGCUGGAAUGCAUCUAGAUUGAAAGCUCCGGCGCCUAAGGAUGAGUCUGCGGACUAUCAGGUUGUAGUCAGGGUAAAGACCUGACUAGCCUACGACGGAUACGGGUUGUGAGAGCAAUAACCCGGAGACGAUAUCUGAGACACGAUAUCGGGCCCUACGGGGCGCAGCAGGCGCGAAAACUUCACACUGUGCGAAAGCGCGAUGAGGGAAUCCCAAGUGUUUGCUCGUAAGAGUAAACUGUUUCUUUGUUUAAAACGCAGAGAGAGUAAGGGCUGGGUAAGACGGGUGCCAGCCGCCGCGGUAAUACCUGCAGCUCGAGUGGUGAUCAUUAUUAUUGGGCCUAAAACGUCCGUAGCCGGUUUAGUAAAUGCCUGGGUAAAUCGUGUAGCUUAACUAUACGACUUCCGGGUAGACUGCUGAACUUGAGACCGGGAGAGGCUAGAGGUACUCCUGGGGUAGAGGUGAAAUUCUGUAAUCCUAGGGGGACCACCAGUGGCGAAGGCGUCUAGCUAGAACGGAUCUGACGGUGAGGGACGAAGCCCUGGGGCGCGAACCGGAUUAGAUACCCGGGUAGUCCANGGUGUAAACGCUGCUUGCUUGAUGUUAGUUGGGCUCCGAGCCCAAUUAGUGUCGGAGAGAAGUUGUUAAGCAAGCUGCCUGGGAAGUACGGUCGCAAGACUGAAACUUAAAGGAAUUGGCGGGGGAGCAC